GAUGAACGCUGGCGGUAUGCUUAACACAUGCAAGUCGAACGGUGUCUUCGGACACAGUGGCGGACGGGUGAGUAACGCGUGAGAAUCUGCCAUCAGGUCUGGGACAACCACUGGAAACGGUGGCUAAUACCGGAUGUGCCCGUAAUUGGGUGAAAGGUUAACUGCCUGUUGAUGAGCUCGCGUCUGAUUAGCUAGUUGGAAGUGUAAUGGACUCCCAAGGCGACGAUCAGUAGCUGGUCUGAGAGGACGAUCAGCCACACUGGGACUGAGACACGGCCCAGACUCCUACGGGAGGCAGCAGUGGGGAAUUUUCCGCAAUGGGCGAAAGCCUGACGGAGCAAUACCGCGUGAGGGAGGAAGGCUCUUGGGUCGUAAACCUCUUUUCUCAGGGAAGAACACAAUGACGGUACCUGAGGAAUAAGCAUCGGCUAACUCCGUGCCAGCAGCCGCGGUAAUACGGAGGAUGCAAGCGUUAUCCGGAAUGAUUGGGCGUAAAGCGUCCGCAGGUGGCAAUGUAAGUCUGCUGUUAAAGAGUCUAGCUCAACUAGAUAAGAGCAGUGGAAACUACAUAGCUAGAGUACGUUCGGGGCAGAGGGAAUUCCUGGUGUAGCGGUGAAAUGCGUAGAGAUCAGGAAGAACACCAGUGGCGAAGGCGCUCUGCUAGGCCGUAACUGACACUGAGGGACGAAAGCUAGGGGAGCGAAUGGGAUUAGAUACCCCAGUAGUCCUAGCCGUAAACGAUGGAUACUAGGCGUGGCUUGUAUCGACCCGAGCCGUGCCGUAGCUAACGCGUUAAGUAUCCCGCCUGGGGAGUACGCCGGCAACGGUGAAACUCAAAGGAAUUGACGGGGGCCCGCACAAGCGGUGGAGUAUGUGGUUUAAUUCGAUGCAACGCGAAGAACCUUACCAAGGCUUGACAUGUCGCGAAUCUCGGUGAAAGCUGAGAGUGCCUUCGGGAGCGCGAACACAGGUGGUGCAUGGCUGUCGUCAGCUCGUGUCGUGAGAUGUUGGGUUAAGUCCCGCAACGAGCGCAACCCUCGUUUUUAGUUGCCAGCAUUAAGUUGGGCACUCUAGAGAGACUGCCGGUGACAAACCGGAGGAAGGUGGGGAUGACGUCAAGUCAGCAUGCCCCUUACGCCUUGGGCUACACACGUACUACAAUGCUCCGGACAGAGGGCAGCAAGCAUGCGAAUGCAAGCAAAUCCCGUAAACCGGAGCUCAGUUCAGAUCGCAGGCUGCAACUCGCCUGCGUGAAGGAGGAAUCGCUAGUAAUUGCAGGUCAGCAUACUGCAGUGAAUUCGUUCCCGGGCCUUGUACACACCGCCCGUCACACCAUGGAAGCUGGUAGUGCCCGAAGUCAUUACUCCAACCAUUCGUGGAGGAGGAUGCCUAAGGCAGGACUGGUGACUGGGGUGAAGUCGUAACAAGGUAGCCGUACCGGAAGGUGUGGCUGGAUCACCUCCUUU
Molecule: ribosomal RNA, 1466 nt
Filed under: Nostoc sp. 1tu14s8
Lineage: Bacteria; Bacillati; Cyanobacteriota; Cyanophyceae; Nostocales; Nostocaceae
Description: 16S ribosomal RNA
Rfam family: Bacterial small subunit ribosomal RNA
Source: RNAcentral